GGAAUGGUUCAGUCCACCAGGAGCCGAAUGGUUCAGUCCACCAGGAAGAGGAUCUUUCUUACUGAGGAGAAACUCCUGCAGCUUCAGCUUCACCUCGGUGCUGGCAAUGGCACCUGACAACACACACACACACACUCCUCAAACACCC
Salarias fasciatus (jewelled blenny) is the source of this 148-nucleotide long non-coding RNA. RefSeq lists it as uncharacterized. The transcript has 5 exons. The record is from RefSeq and is a predicted model, not a curated record. NCBI's taxonomy places the organism in Eukaryota, Metazoa, Chordata, Actinopteri, Blenniiformes, Blenniidae.